GACAAACGCUGGCGGCGCGCCUAACACAUGCAAGUCGAGGGACGAAGCGGGGAGCUUGCUCCCCGUGGAAACCGGCGAACGGGUGAGUAACACGUGAGCAACCUGCCCCGAAGACUGGAAUAACGCCGGGAAACCGGUGCUAAUGCCGGAUGUCCUCCAUCGGCUUCAUGGCCGUAGGAGGAAAUGGUCCGCCGCUUCGGGAUGGGCUCGCGGCCUAUCAGCUUGUUGGUGGGGUAACGGCCCACCAAGGCUACGACGGGUAGCUGGUCUGAGAGGACGAUCAGCCACACUGGGACUGAGACACGGCCCAGACUCCUACGGGAGGCAGCAGUGGGGAAUCUUGCGCAAUGGGCGAAAGCCUGACGCAGCGACGCCGCGUGCGGGAAGACGGCCUUCGGGUUGUAAACCGCUUUCAGUGGGGACGACAUUGACGGUACCCACAGAAGAAGCCCCGGCCAACUACGUGCCAGCAGCCGCGGUAAUACGUAGGGGGCGAGCGUUGUCCGGAUUUAUUGGGCGUAAAGAGCUCGUAGGCGGCUCGGUAAGUCGGAUGUGAAAUCUCCUGGCUCAACUGGGAGGGGCCAUUCGAUACUGCCAUGGCUUGAGUCCGGUAGGGGGGUGUGGAAUUCCCGGU
RNAcentral lists this ribosomal RNA (634 nucleotides) under uncultured Acidimicrobiales bacterium. RNAcentral describes it as "bacterial SSU rRNA". It matches the Rfam family "Bacterial small subunit ribosomal RNA", at positions 28 to 674 of the family's 1533-position model. Lineage: Bacteria; Bacillati; Actinomycetota; Acidimicrobiia; Acidimicrobiales. The record is from RNAcentral.